AUGGAGUCUAACCCAGGGAUCCUGAUCUCCUCCUUGUACAAAAAUGACCCUUUUUACCCCCUUUACCUUUGUGACCUGAUGGAAGCAUCACAGGCUGCAGUCAACUCUUUUCUCAAGGAACAGAAAACUCUUCUCUGGACACUGAAGAAACUAGAGCACCAAAGAUCGACAAGACUACGACAAUUGAAUGAGGAGAAAAAGCAAUUUGCUCUCCUAAUGGAAAGGAAGUUAGCUCCACAAAUCAACAAUCGGUCAAGUUCACAUUUUCCUGGAGUAGAGAUAAGCCAGUCAUCUUCCUCCAGUUCUAGAAUUCCCCCUUCUAGAAAGAACACCCUGAAAAGCUUCCAUGCAGGCAGGGACAUCCGGGUGAUCUCUAGCACUCCGUCAAGCUCUACAGAAUCUUCAGAAGUCAAACCUGUUGAGAUGUUGAAAGUGCCACUGUCGUCCUUAAGAAUCCCAGGGCCACAGUAUAUGUGUAAAUAUGUGCACAACCCAAAAUUACUGACAAGAAAUGGCAGUUAUUUACCAAUUCUUCGAUUAUAA
Molecule: long non-coding RNA, 543 nt
Filed under: Monodelphis domestica (gray short-tailed opossum)
Lineage: Eukaryota; Metazoa; Chordata; Mammalia; Didelphimorphia; Didelphidae
Description: lncRNA (ENSMODG00000029907.2)
Source: RNAcentral